Molecule: ribosomal RNA, 299 nt
Filed under: Theileria uilenbergi
Lineage: Eukaryota; Apicomplexa; Aconoidasida; Piroplasmida; Theileriidae
Description: large subunit ribosomal RNA
Rfam family: Bacterial large subunit ribosomal RNA
Source: RNAcentral
AGUCCACAUUUUAUUAUAAGCAUAUGAGGAGCGUCUGUUGAAUACCUACAUAAGAUAAUGCUAAGAUUUAUAUCGAUGUAUAUUAUCUGAUACCUGUUCAGUGGCCAAAAGCUCAACAACAAGGAUCUCUUUCAAAGUAAGAAUUGAUUAUCUAAAUAAUGAUCAUGCGAAUGGUACAACGACUUCUCUAUUGUCUCCACUAAGUGCCCUAUGAAAUAGACAUGGCUUUGAAUAGGAAGUCUGAUAUACUGUGACGGUAAGACCCUGUGCACCUUUACUUUCCCUAAAAAGAGUUUUGC